UACAAAGGCUAAAGUAUCAUAAGUAUCAUGAGAAGAGGAAUGAUACAAUGGAGAAAGCUGAUCUUGAAUUUCAAAAGUCCAUACACAUACUGGAUAAAGAAAUUGAGAGAAGAAUGUCACUUGUCCAAAGUUACAAGCUCGAUGAGAAUGAGACCUGCUGACACAUCACCAAUAUAUAGAAAAAUUGAAAAAAAAAGCAAACAAAACAGACAUCAACAGGAAGGAAAUGUCAAGUUGCCGAAAAAAGUCAUUCAAAAACUGAAUUCCAUAUGAUUGAAUGGUAGCUGGUUUUGAGUAAAACUUCUCUUUAAAAGGAAAAAAGAAAAGAGAAACUCACAUGAACAUUUUAGCCUUCCUCAG
RNAcentral lists this long non-coding RNA (360 nucleotides) under Monodelphis domestica (gray short-tailed opossum). Its description in RNAcentral is "lncRNA (ENSMODG00000038582.1)". Lineage: Eukaryota; Metazoa; Chordata; Mammalia; Didelphimorphia; Didelphidae. The record is from RNAcentral.